RNAcentral lists this unclassified non-coding RNA (208 nucleotides) under uncultured Gammaproteobacteria bacterium. RNAcentral describes it as "contains 16S-23S intergenic spacer region". The stretch from base 63 to 197 matches the Rfam family "Bacterial small subunit ribosomal RNA", at positions 1051 to 1187 of the family's 1533-position model. The record is from RNAcentral. Lineage: Bacteria; Pseudomonadati; Pseudomonadota; Gammaproteobacteria.
UCCGGUUUGUCACCGGCAGUCCCAUUAGAGUGCUCAACUGAAUGUAGCAACUAAUGGCAAGGGUUGCGCUCGUUGCGGGACUUAACCCAACAUCUCACGACACGAGCGCAACCCCUAUCCUUAGUUGCCAGCGGGUAACGCCGGGAACUCUAAGGAGACUGCCCCGGAAAUCGGGGAGGAAGGUGGGGAUGACGUCAGCCUAUCGAGA